GUCCUUCUCCUCAGGACCGAGCCGAGUGAAAUGACAACCAGCUGGAAAGACCUAGAGACACUUCCGGUUCGAAGAGGGAGGGGUGGGGUACGGAGGGCACUCCGCCCACCUGUCGAAGUACCAAUCAGCUGUUAGAAUUUAGGCGAGGCCACGCCCCCGGCUCAGGUCCCCUCCUAGGAAGGUCGAAAACUUAGCUCGAGAGACGCCUCUUCCGUCUGCGCCUCGCCCAGUGAGGCCUGGCGCCUGGAACCCGGUCCCCCACCCAGAGUGAGCGCAGCAGGUUGCCAUCUUUAGUGUGGGCAAGAGACUCCUUCGCCAUUUCUCUCCCCUCAGCACGCUUUGGAGGAUUGCAUAUAGGGAUGCACGGAAGAGAACGGAUCCCUCGAGCACUAAAGAAAGAGUCCAAAGGAGAUCCAAAGGGCGACCGGUGAAACCGCGGAUGAAGGGGAGGCCUGCCCACAGUAAAGAGUUGAGACCCUACCCAGAGACUGACGACGGGAAGCUGCCACACUCCAACUAUUUGAGCAGGUUUUCUGCUGCCGUCUGUCAUCCCUGCGAUGCAUUUUAAAAGAUAAAUUGCCGAAGAAACUUCUCGAUUUCGUGGAGAAGUAUUGAAGUGAGGAGUGUUAUGAACACUUUCCAGAGAGGUCUGCAUGAAAAAUGCUGCAUACACUUGGCCCGUUCCCUUUCGAAGCUGACACACUGCCAUGGAUACGUGCUUGUGGUUCAGUCAGCAGUCCGCACACGUGUAUCAGGUGAUGCCCCAAAGCCGUGCGCCAACAAGAUCCCGAGACUAUCCAGUGCAACAGGGGAGAGAUGACUGAAUUCCAAAUUGCAGUAAGCAUGACAAGCCCGUAAAUAAGGGUGCCGUGGGGACACGGGAGAGAGGCUGCCUUACUCAGCCUGGGCUCCAGGGAGGGCUUCCAAGAAGAGGGGAAAUUUGAGCACUGUCUGGAAAGCUGAGCUAGAGGUUGGCAGGUGUGGAAAGGAAUCGGGUGUCAGGUUGGAGCCCCUCGAGGGUGUGGCUGGUGAAGAGAAGAGCACCUAACCCACAUUCAUUGAUGACUGUGUACUCUGUAUUGAAGGGCCGUGC
This 1093-nucleotide long non-coding RNA is filed under the name Ursus maritimus (polar bear). Its description in RNAcentral is "lncRNA (ENSUMAG00000024520.1)". The record is from RNAcentral. Lineage: Eukaryota; Metazoa; Chordata; Mammalia; Carnivora; Ursidae.